UAGGCGCCGAGCAGGAAGGCAGAGGUCGAGCUGGGGGUUCCUGGGGCUGGGCGUCGGCUCGGAAUCAGAGCUAACCUGAGAAGCACCCACAGAAGAUUCUGAGAGACUCUGAAGGGCCCCUGAAGAUUCAGCAUUCAACCCCAGGGGCUGCCGGUUAGAGACCAGAUAACAUGCCCUGUUCUAAGAAGAGACAGUGUGUAUUUAUACUGACUGCCAGCCAGGUGCUUUGCUGGGCUCAUUCUACAUAUUCACUUAGUUAACCCCUGCCCCGAGCCUGGGUCAGAAUUAAAGUAGGCACUUUCACUUAGCCCCAUUUUAUGGAUGAGGGAGUUGAGGCACAGAGAAAACAUGUGUCUACUAAAACAUAGUCCAUUGUUUUUCUUUCUCUCCUGGGAUUUGGGGGCAGGGGAUGGGGUGGAUGGGUGGCGAUCUUUCUCCAGACCGGUGGACUUUUGCUUACGUAUACCCAGCAACUUUUCAUAGAUAAGGAAACAGAGCUCAGGGUGGUGAGAUCCAUGGUCCAGGUCCUCUGGCCACCACCGGGCGGCCUUUUCUCUCCUGGCAUCCUGGGCUAGCCACCCACUGGCUUCGCCCACCAGCUUCCUCCUUCAGCUUUUUCAGACCCACUUGCUGGGUGAUUCUGUACUGUCUUUUCUCCUGCUUCCUCUGGUGAAAACAUCCCCAGAGGCCAACUUGUGCAUGCUCAGCCCAGGGGCUUGAUGAGGACAAAGUUGGGUUUGGGUUUUAGUUUUUGUUGUUUUUUGUUUUGGGUGAUCAUUAUUAACCGAGCAAAUCCAAACUGCCCACGCUGCUAGACUAGAAACGCUGCUGCCAGGCCCCCUUGCAGGUGUCUGGAACAAGAAAUGGCUCACUGCUUCACCCUUUAGACCCGGGGGCGGGGGCGAGGACAGGCCGGGAGGGCCAUCAGCGGCCACCUGCCGUGUUAGGGGUGUGUUAGAGGCCGCAGGAGCCUGGGCCUCAGCCCAUGGGCCCCAGGCCAGCCCACUGCCAACCAGCCUCCACCUGAGUACCGCCCCCGCUCCACCGCCACUCCGCUCCCCUGCUGUGGCCCGCCCUUCCGGAAUGAACCUUGUCCUGGCUUGGAGCCACCAGGAAGGCCAGAGCAAGCCUGCAAUUACUGCCAGGGCCCUGCCGUCUGUGACUUGGAGGCUCAGCAUGGGGUGGGGGUGGAGCUCUUCCCCGUCGGGCUGUGUGCCUGGAGUGGUGGCUCAAGUCUGCAGCUUCUACCUGCAGGUGGUCUCCUGCUGCCUUCUGGCUCCCCAGGGAUAUUGCCUUGUAAACAGAUACUUGGAUUUUCAAAGUACUCUCCCGUUGUUUGGGACAAGGCAUUAUUACCUUCCGAGAGGGGGGGGCAUGAAACCAGUUCUUUUUUUUUUUUUUUUUCCCCAUGCCCUGGGGCUUGCUGGAUCCUAGUUCCCCAACCAGGGAUCGAACCCGUGCCCCCUGCAGUGGAAGCACGGAGUCCUAACCACUGGACCGCCAGGGAAGUCCCUCUGAGGGAGAAACUGAGGCUGUGAGAAGGGGGUACCCCAGGAUCUCCAAAACCUUCCUUUUAGCAAGGGCGGCUUCCCCUCUCGUUGCUUUGCAUCUCUGGAUCCUGCUGCGGAGAUGAGGCUACCGAGGAGGGAACGUGCAGGAGAGGGCCUCUGGGGACUCUGCAGUCAGCGGGCACUAAUGUGUCUGUCUCUGCAGCCUGGGCGUCCUUCUGUCUCCCCUGACCUCCCUCCCUUCUCCCCAGGCUUGUCCCUCUUUCUCACGACUUUCUGGACAUCUGUGGGCGGCGCAUACUUGUUGCCCAAUCUCCCAGUGGUUCCACUGUGACUAAAGCCAGCUCUGUCCCUGGAGGCUGGAGCCAGGGUGCACCCCCAGGGCCACAUGUCCCAAGCUUGGACCUGGGCUUCCGGUCAGACUGGGCGAGUGGGCAGGCAGGCUGGGUCUUCUCAACACCCUGAGCUGAUUCUAGGCCCAGCAGGUUACACAAACACACACAGACACACACAGACACACACAGACACACACACACACACACGGCUCUGGGAAAUUCUCUGCCCACCCUCUGAAUGGCCCAGGUUCCCUCUGAUUGUCCUGGAUUACCCUAGUGUACUUGUCCCUGCUCUUGGUCAAUUUCCCUCCUUGCAGCUACCCUGUAUGUUCUAGAAAGCUGGGGAAAGAUCCUCAGAGCCAUCCUCCUGCCAGCCACCCACCAGAUGGGCCAGGUCUCGGGCAUGCUCCCUGCUCUGUGCUCAAGGCCAGCAUGAUUCUUCCCCCAAACCUUCUCCAAUUCAUAUUGCACCAGAGCCCAUCCUGUCCCGUUGCCAUGGCAUCUGUGGUACCCAGAAGCCAGAUGGUCUUAUGUUCCCUAAUGCCCCUUCCAGGCUCAGGCACUUCUGAGCUCUGCGAGAGUAUACUCUGUACCCCUAAAUCCCCCCCAUCACACUGAGGCUGUGUGCCCCAGUAGCUCAUCUGUCUCCCCCCAUGACUCUGAGACAGGCAGUGAUAACACUUGUCUGAAUUUCAGAUUUGAACUCGGGUCUGUGGGAGCCUUGGAGCCUAAGGUCUUAAGAAUGACAAUCAUCAUAACAGCUGUUGCUUCCUGGUGAGGCACUUUACCUAUGGAGUCCUCACCGCAAAGAUUUAUUACCUUAUCCUCAUUUCACAUUGUUGAAACUGAGGCGCAGGGAGGCUGGAUAGCUUGCCUGCUCUAUAUAGUCUUUACAGCGAAAAAGUGCCAGUUUCUUGACUCUUGACAUUUGGGGCUGGAUCGUUCUCUGUUGGGGGUGGGGGCUCUGCCUUGUGCAUCUCAGGAUGUUGAGCUGCAGUCCUGGCCUCCAUCCACUAGUGUUACCUGAAAACUGGGAUUACCUCUAGGAGGGUGUCAAGCCAAAAGACACAAUCAAGCCAAAGAUUGGGAGAAGGAAGGAUUUAUUAUUUGCAGCAGGUAAGGAGAAUACCAGAGAUCUUUCCUAAAGCAGUGUCUCUCUGAACAGCAAAACUGGGGAAGAUUCAAGUAAGGGUAUGUGUAUAUUCAGGAAGGGGCUUGAGCAGAGGAGAAUUCAGCAUAGAAUUGGGGCAAAGGUAGAUGGAGUCCAAGCUUUACUUGAUUGAAGUCGGAAGGGUCAACAUCAUCAUUCUAUCUUCCACCUGGGUCGGGGCCUUAGUUUCUGCAGAACUCAAAAGACCUGUAUCAGGUUGUUAUGUAUAUCCCUUCAGGAGGAGCUAGGUCUCUAUUUUAUCGCUGAAAUAUUGUUUCUUGACUACUUUUCCUGUGUUCCUGCAUUCCCUCGCUUCCCUUAAGGUCACUGAUUACUGAGACCCGUUCAAGGGUGAGCAUCGUGGCCAGGCUUAGAUCACAAAGUGGCUUAGGCCAGAAAUGGCUUCACUUAUGUCAAGAAAGCCAUGUCUGGUUCUUUUUCUUUGGGGACCCCCUACCCUAUCUCCUUACAUUAGGUACCAGAGCGCCUCUUCCUACAGUCAUGGCAACAAAUAAUGUCCCCAGAUGUGGCUUUAAUUUGGUGUGGGGUGGGGAGCAGCCUCACCACCUGCCUUUGACUGCCCUGACUCUCCACAUAGGUGCCCGCCUGCAGAAUAUCAGUGUGUGUGUGUGUGUGUCUGUGUGUGUGUCUGUCUGUCUUUUCCCAAAAACAGGCAUGGAGUUCUGGGGAUGGAGGUGAUUGGUAGGUUCUGGCAUCUUGGGGAGGGGUCAGCGGGGCUGUCAUUCUAGGCCAUGUCCCCUUUUCCUGGCGGGAGGCGUGCAGGUUCCCCAGGCCCUGGCGUGUGGAGACAGGCAGCCCUUUUCUUCCUUCCUGGUUCCCAGGGGUGGGUGAUAGUGGCAGAGGCAGCCCAGGAGCCAGAGGGCAUGGGGAGCCGCGACCUGGCCUCCGGAUUUACUGGGCGGGUGCCCGGGUGUGUGCACUGAGACCCAAGGGCCCUUGUGGGUGUGGAGGAGAAACCAGAGGCUAAAGUAGGUCUCCCCACCUGCCUGCCUGCCACCCUGCCUGCCACCCUCAUAUCCCACCCAGCCCUGGCUCCAGGCCAGCUACUGCCAGAAUAGUGACUCACAGAGCUGCAGAGCCCAGGAGAGAAACAGGGUGCAGGGUGGGGUGUCCCCCUCAUCCUCAACCUUCCCAGCGUCCCUGUUAAGACCAGGACCCUUGAGGCUGCAUUUCACUCUCCCUGCGUGACACUGCCAUCCCCCUUCCCCGCCCCCCACGAGUGGGAUUUUUUUUUUUCUCGGCACCGCGCUACGGCAGGAAGACAGAAACGAGUGUGGGGCAUGGAAUGUCUCUGAGGUUGGAAUAUAUUUAGGCCAGGAUGAGAGAGUAUGUGUGCUGGGGGGCAGUCUAUAAAAACUAACCACCCUAUAUUUUCGGCUGCUCUCACCUUUGGAAACAGACCCCAUUCUGUCUAUGGAUUGUGUAUCUCUCUCAAUAAAUCUCCUUACCUGUCA
Balaenoptera ricei (Rice's whale) is the source of this 4468-nucleotide long non-coding RNA. RefSeq lists it as uncharacterized. NCBI's taxonomy places the organism in Eukaryota, Metazoa, Chordata, Mammalia, Artiodactyla, Balaenopteridae. The record is from RefSeq and is a predicted model, not a curated record. The transcript has 2 exons.